AUCCUUUUGUAGUUUAUGAGUAUGAUGACUAGGUGUUCGCAGGUAUGUGUGAGAUGUGCCACCCUCGAACCUUGUUAUGAUGUCAGCAUAUUGUUAGUCUGACA
Molecule: small nucleolar RNA, 104 nt
Organism: Macaca fascicularis (crab-eating macaque)
Lineage: Eukaryota; Metazoa; Chordata; Mammalia; Primates; Cercopithecidae
Source: Ensembl